UACGGAGGGUGCAAACGUUGUUCGGAAUCAUUGGGCGUAAAGCGCACGUAGGCGGUCCGGUAAGUCGGAUGUGAAAUCCCUCGGCUCAACCGAGGAAGGGCAUCCGAAACUGCCGGGCUUGAGUACGGAAGAGGGUCUCGGAAUUCCCGGUGUAGAGGUGAAAUUCGUAGAUAUCGGGAGGAACACCAGUGGCGAAGGCGGAGACCUGGGCCGAUACUGACGCUGAGGCGCGAAAGCGUGGGGAGCAAACAGG
Molecule: ribosomal RNA, 253 nt
Filed under: uncultured bacterium
Lineage: Bacteria
Description: partial 16S ribosomal RNA
Rfam family: Bacterial small subunit ribosomal RNA
Source: RNAcentral